GCGGGGAUAGCUCAGUUGGGAGAGCGUCAGACUGAAGUCCAACUUCAAUCAUAUUAUCUGAAGGUCGUGCGUUCGAUCCGCACUCACCGCA
This is a non-coding RNA of Xylaria cubensis, 91 nucleotides long. The record is from the annotation of a GenBank genome assembly. Lineage: Eukaryota; Fungi; Ascomycota; Sordariomycetes; Xylariales; Xylariaceae.